RNAcentral lists this microRNA precursor (77 nucleotides) under Schistosoma mattheei. Its description in RNAcentral is "mir-3492 microRNA precursor family". It matches the Rfam family "mir-3492 microRNA precursor family". Lineage: Eukaryota; Metazoa; Platyhelminthes; Trematoda; Strigeidida; Schistosomatidae. The record is from Rfam by way of RNAcentral.
AGCUUUCGAAUUCGUGCUGAGAUUUCGUCAGGCACCAACGCAUUAGGGCUGAUCAAACUUUCACGAUAAGUGAAGUU